UGUAAAGUGGCUACAAUAAUAUCUGUUUCACAGAGCUGUUGUGAGGAGGAAGUGAGAUAACGUGUGCAGAAUGCCUGGCUUGGUGAUUGGCACAUACACAAGAAAUACUCAGCCAAUGGUAACUGUUAUUGUUACUAUUGCUGCUGCUGUUAUGGAGGGAAGGACAGAGGUUUGAUACGCAUAUUUGUGGAAGUGCAAUCUAUGUGGAGCUCCGGGACUGCAGGAACACGGAGGCGGGAGAACGAUGGAAGCUCCUGGGGCAAUGCUGGAGGGUCGGUCCGGUCCAGAGAGAAACCAGAUGGUGAAAAUGAUCUGGGAGUGGACUGUGGCAGCUGCUGAGGAGAACCUGAAGUAGAAGACAAUACUGGAUGGAAGGCUUCAUCUCUACUUCAGGUUGGAUCAGGGCGUCCUCUUGCCCUGCCCUCUUCUGAGCGGGGCCAGUGGCUGAGCGGAACACAACCUGAGAUCUCUCUCGAUGCACAGACCCAUAACUCACCUUCAUAAGCACGGUGACCUGGCCAAGGGUCCCAGACCUGGCUGACUGUUCUUUGGAGCCUGUUGAAACAGCGAUUCCUGGUCUUCUCUCACACAGAGAUUCAGGAGGUCAGAGCUGGGCUGAUUCUGGAACGGCACAUGCCCAGACUGGCAUCCGGGAAUGGGUUGACAGUAGCUUGGUAAGUCACAUGGGCCACAGCCCACGAUGUGAGGGCAAAGGGAUCAUUCCUGGCUGCUGUAUAGCCUUUGUUCCCGAACAUGAGCUCAGGAAUGGUUUGGAACUAGACAAAACCAAAACAAAACAAGGUGAGGAGAAGCCUAAAACAAAACAUAGGCGUUUCCCAAGGAAUGUAACCCUCUGCAAAGACUUCAAGUUGGAAGUUGUGUGGAUGAGCUUUGUAUGCAUCAUGAAAAAUGGCCACCUUGACACCUUUGCGCAUGGCCCUCUUGUUCUGCCUCCCAGGACUGGCUAAGCACACAGAGCAGCAAGCAAUCGCUUGUCUUAUGUGACCCACGUCUAAGCAACCACAGGAAGCAGCCUGAGUAGGAACGAGGAGCUCCUAGAACAAGCAUGGAGGGGACCAAGUCGGGGCUGUUCCAUACCUUCUGCACAUUGUGCAAGUGUUGGUUUUCGGGGGACGGGGCAUGCCGGGGAGGGGGUGUGUGAAGGAAGCAUAGUCUAUGAAACAUAAAGAAAUUGUCUGGAAAACAUGGAGUGAUGAGUGGAGAUCCUUUUGAACCAUCUUGUCACUUAUGGGUCAUAUACAAAGUGUCCUGUCCCAGAAGCAGAAGGUCCCAGAACAUUCACUCAGUGACACAGAAGGAGAGGAUGAGUAUCUCAAGGAGAAAGAAGUUUGGGGCUGGAAUGCUGGUCUUUGGUGCUCUGCUCAUUACUACUUUCCCCAGGCCACUUGGGUUACCCCAUUGCCCUAGCCUGCUUCCUUCUGCAGGGACAUCUGUCCAUUUCUUGGCUUGUGACCUGUAUACGCUACGACACUCGCACACUGUUCAAAUAUUAGAUAGUGUAGAGGAUUUGUAAAGUCAUCAGCCCUUGUCCAACUUUUU
This is a long non-coding RNA of Neofelis nebulosa (Clouded leopard), 1560 nucleotides long. RefSeq lists it as uncharacterized. The record is from RefSeq and is a predicted model, not a curated record. The transcript is spliced from 3 exons. NCBI's taxonomy places the organism in Eukaryota, Metazoa, Chordata, Mammalia, Carnivora, Felidae.